RNAcentral lists this ribosomal RNA (253 nucleotides) under uncultured bacterium. RNAcentral's name for it is "partial 16S ribosomal RNA". It matches the Rfam family "Bacterial small subunit ribosomal RNA", at positions 524 to 776 of the family's 1533-position model. The record is from RNAcentral.
UACGGGGGGGGCAAGCGUUGUUCGGAAUUACUGGGCGUAAAGGGCUCGUAGGUGGCCAACUAAGUCAUACGUGAAAUCCCUCAGCUUAACUGGGGAACUGCGUCUGAUACUGGAUGGCUUGAGAUUGGGAGAGGGAUGCGGAAUUCCAGGUGUAGCGGUGAAAUGCGUAGAUAUCUGGAGGAACACCGGUGGCGAAGGCGGCAUCCUGGACCAACACUGACACUGAGGAGCGAAAGCCAGGGGAGCAAACGGG